RNAcentral lists this ribosomal RNA (515 nucleotides) under Rhipicephalus sanguineus (brown dog tick). RNAcentral's name for it is "partial 16S ribosomal RNA". Lineage: Eukaryota; Metazoa; Arthropoda; Arachnida; Ixodida; Ixodidae. The record is from RNAcentral.
CCCUCCCCUCCCCCCCCCCCCCUCUCCCCCCCCCCGCCGGAUAGAUAAGUUAGAAACAUAAGGUUGAACCGGCCUCCCACUCGCUAUUCCGGCGCCCCCUUCCUCCUCCCCCCAAACUUUUUUAAAUUGCUGUGGUAUUUUGACUAUACAAAGGUAUUGAAAUAAGAUUUUAAUUGAAUGCUAAGAGAAUGGAAGUCCAGAAAAAAACUUUUUUUAAAUUAAAAAUUGAAGUUUUUUUAAUUUGUGCAGAAACAAUUAUUUAUAUUAAAGACAAGAAGACCCUAUGAAUUUAUUAAAUUUUUAUUUAAUAUGUAAUUACUAUUAGAAAAAUUUUGGCUGGGGCGGCUAGAAAAUAUUAUAAACUUUUUAAAAAUAAAAUGAUCCAUUAUUAAUGAUUUUAUGUUAAAUACUCUAGGGAUAACAGCGUUAUAUUUUUUGAUAGAUCAUAUUGACAAAAAAGUUUGCGACCUCGAUGUUGGAUUAGGAUACUUUUUUAAUGAAGAUAUUAAAAAAAG